Monopterus albus (swamp eel) is the source of this 73-nucleotide small nucleolar RNA. Lineage: Eukaryota; Metazoa; Chordata; Actinopteri; Synbranchiformes; Synbranchidae. The record is from Ensembl.
GGCCUGUGAUGAAGAUUCUGCCAAAUGAGUGCUCUUGAUUAUAACCCUUACCGUUCCACUUCAUUCUGAGGCU